Molecule: unclassified non-coding RNA, 71 nt
Filed under: Vibrio mangrovi
Lineage: Bacteria; Pseudomonadati; Pseudomonadota; Gammaproteobacteria; Vibrionales; Vibrionaceae
Description: isrK
Source: RNAcentral
GCACCGGCAAAAUCCGGUGCCGGGAUUAGGACCCUGCCAAAGACAGAUGCAUAUCAAAAGGCCAGUAUUGU